This 423-nucleotide ribosomal RNA is filed under the name uncultured bacterium. RNAcentral's name for it is "bacterial SSU rRNA". It matches the Rfam family "Bacterial small subunit ribosomal RNA", at positions 207 to 622 of the family's 1533-position model. The record is from RNAcentral.
AAGACCUUGCACUUUUGGAGCGGCCGAUGUCUGAUUAGCUAGUUGGUGGGGUAAUGGCCUACCAAAGCUUCGAUCAGUAGCUGGUCUGAGAGGACGACCAGCCACACUGGGACUGAGACACGGCCCAGACUCCUACGGGAGGCAGCAGUGGGGAAUUUUGGACAAUGGGGGCAACCCUGAUCCAGCCAUGCCGCGUGAGUGAAGAAGGCCUUCGGGUUGUAAAGCUCUUUCAGCCGGAACGAAACGGUUACGGUUAAUACCCGUGACUACUGACGGUACCGGAAGAAGAAGCACCGGCUAACUACGUGCCAGCAGCCGCGGUAAUACGUAGGGUGCGAGCGUUAAUCGGAAUUACUGGGCGUAAAGCGUGCGCAGGUGGUUUUGUAAGUCAGAUGUGAAAGCCCCGGGCUCAACCUGGGAACU